This 400-nucleotide ribosomal RNA is filed under the name uncultured bacterium. RNAcentral describes it as "bacterial SSU rRNA". It matches the Rfam family "Bacterial small subunit ribosomal RNA", at positions 360 to 776 of the family's 1533-position model. The record is from RNAcentral.
AAUUUUGCGCAAUGGGGGAAACCCUGACGCAGCAACGCCGCGUGAAUGACGAAGCCCUUCGGGGUGUAAAGUUCUGUCAGUAGGGAAGAAUAAUGACUGUACCUACAAAGGAAGCACCGGCUAACUCCGUGCCAGCAGCCGCGGUAAUACGGAGGGUGCAAGCGUUGUCCGGAAUCAUUGGGCGUAAAGCGUUCGUAGGCGGCAUACCAAGUCUGGUGUUAAAGCCCGGGGCUCAACUCCGGUUCGGCACUGGAUACUGGUAAGCUAGAAUGAGGUAGAGGUAAUGGGAAUUCCUGGUGUAGCGGUGAAAUGCGUAGAUAUCAGGAGGAACAUCGGUGGCGUAAGCGCAUUACUGGGCCUUUAUUGACGCUGAGGAACGAAAGCCGGGGGAGCAAAUGGG